UGAUGUCCUGCAAGAUCCUCAUAAAGCCCUC
RNAcentral lists this non-coding RNA (31 nucleotides) under Mus musculus (house mouse). The record is from RNAcentral. Lineage: Eukaryota; Metazoa; Chordata; Mammalia; Rodentia; Muridae.